CUUGAUAACAUAAGAGGUCCAGCCUGCCCAGUGACUCAAUUCAACGGCCGCGGUAUCCUAACCGUGCAAAGGUAGCGUAAUCACUUGUCUUCUAAAUAAAGACUAGUAUGAAAGGCACCACGAGAACUAAACUGUCUCCUUUUUCUAAUCAGUGAACCUAAUCUCCCUGUGAAAAAGCAAGGAUUUAAUAAUAAGACGAGAAGACCCUAUGGAGCUUUAAACACAUAACAAUGCCCUUUUACACCACAAUGUUCCAUGCACAAUGAUUAAGAGUUUUUAGUUGGGGUGACUACGGAGUAAACCCACCCUCCGCGAUGAAUCUUAAACAAGCGACAGCUUUAUACAUCAGCAAACUGACACCAUUGACCCAAUUUAUUGAUCAACGAAC
This 388-nucleotide ribosomal RNA is filed under the name Pristimantis zeuctotylus (Sipaliwini robber frog). RNAcentral's name for it is "partial 16S ribosomal RNA". It matches the Rfam family "Bacterial large subunit ribosomal RNA", at positions 1834 to 2457 of the family's 2925-position model. RNAcentral also lists the same sequence under 1 other name. The record is from RNAcentral. Lineage: Eukaryota; Metazoa; Chordata; Amphibia; Anura; Strabomantidae.